This 301-nucleotide ribosomal RNA is filed under the name uncultured bacterium. RNAcentral's name for it is "partial 16S ribosomal RNA". It matches the Rfam family "Bacterial small subunit ribosomal RNA", at positions 509 to 807 of the family's 1533-position model. The record is from RNAcentral.
CAGUAGCCGCGGGAAUACGUAGGGUGCGAGCGUUAAUCGGAAUUACUGGGCGUAAAGCGUGCGCAGGCGGUUGUGUAAGACAGGUGUGAAAUCCCCGGGCUUAACCUGGGAACUGCGCUUGUGACUGCACAGCUAGAGUAUGGCAGAGGGGGGUGGAAUUCCACGUGUAGCAGUGAAAUGCGUAGAGAUGUGGAGGAACACCGAUGGCGAAGGCAGCCCCCUGGGCCAAUACUGACGCUCAUGCACGAAUGCGUGGGGAGCAAACAGGAUUAGAGACCCGAGUAGUCCCUGUCUCUUAUAC